RNAcentral lists this ribosomal RNA (462 nucleotides) under Triticum aestivum (bread wheat). RNAcentral describes it as "partial small subunit ribosomal RNA". The record is from RNAcentral. Lineage: Eukaryota; Viridiplantae; Streptophyta; Magnoliopsida; Poales; Poaceae.
AUGAUCCAUCCAAAGAAGCUUGCUCAGCUGGCCAAGAAGUGCCAGCGGAUGUUGGCGGCCAGAACCAGUGCCCGCCGUCGGCAUGCCUCAGACACAGCCGCUGACGAGUGCUGCAGCACAGUAUCAUCUGUGGUUGCUGAUGAGGGCCAUUGUGUGGUGUACACUGCCGACGGAACCCGGUUCGAGGUCCCUCUGGCGUACCUCAGGACGACGGUCUUCUCUGAGCUCCUGAGGAUGUCCGAGGAGGAGUUUGGCUUCGCGAAUGGCAGUGACGGAGGCAGGAUCAUGCUGCCCUGCGAUGCCGCUGUGAUGGAGUAUGUCUUGUGCCUGGUCAGGAGAGAGGCCUCUGAGGAGGUGGAGAAGGCUUUCUUGGGCUCUAUUGCUGGGCACUGCCACAGCUACAAUGCUAGCUGCAUGGCUCCAUCAAUGGGAAUCAGCCAUCAAUUUGCCCUUUGUACUUAG